This 497-nucleotide ribosomal RNA is filed under the name uncultured bacterium. Its description in RNAcentral is "partial 16S ribosomal RNA". It matches the Rfam family "Bacterial small subunit ribosomal RNA", at positions 28 to 507 of the family's 1533-position model. The record is from RNAcentral.
GAUGAACGCUGGCGGCGUGCCUAAUACAUGCAAGUCGAGCGAACAGAUGAGGAGCUUGCUCCUCUGACGUUAGCGGCGGACGGGUGAGUAACACGUGGAUAACCUACCUAUAAGACUGGGAUAACUUCGGGAAACCGGAGCUAAUACCGGAUAAUAUAUUGAACCGCAUGGUUCAAUAGUGAAAGACGGUUUUGCUGUCACUUAUAGAUGGAUCCGCGCCGCAUUAGCUAGUUGGUAAGGUAACGGCUUACCAAGGCAACGAUGCGUAGCCGACCUGAGAGGUUGAGCGGCCACACUGGAACUGAGACACGGUCCAGACUCCUACGGGAGGCAGCAGUAGGGAAUAUUCCACAAUGGGCGAAAGCCUGACGGAGCAACACCGCGUGAGUGAAGAAGGUCUUCGGAUCGUAAAACCCUGUUAUUAGGGAAGAAAAAAAGCAUAAGAAAAUACGGACGUCUUGACGGUACCUAAACAAAAAGCCACGGCUAACUACGUG